UUUCCGUAGGCGAACCUGCGGAAGGAUCAUUACAGAGUUCAUGCCCUCACGGGUAGAUCUCCCACCCUUGAAUAUUUUACCUUAGUUGCUUUGGCAGGCCGUGGAAACACCAUGGGCUCCGGCUUAUGCGUGCCUGCCAGAGGAAACAAACUCUGUUUUUAGUGAUGUCUGAGUACUAUAUAAUAGUUAAAACUUUCAACAAUGGAUCUCUUGGUUCUG
RNAcentral lists this unclassified non-coding RNA (219 nucleotides) under plant metagenome. RNAcentral's name for it is "partial contains small subunit ribosomal RNA, internal transcribed spacer 1, and 5.8S ribosomal RNA". The record is from RNAcentral.